Molecule: ribosomal RNA, 492 nt
Filed under: uncultured bacterium
Lineage: Bacteria
Description: partial 16S ribosomal RNA
Rfam family: Bacterial small subunit ribosomal RNA
Source: RNAcentral
AGUGAACGCUGGCGGUAGGCCUAACACAUGCAAGUCGAACGGCAGCACAGUAAGAGCUUGCUCUUACGGGUGGCGAGUGGCGGACGGGUGAGGAAUACAUCGGAAUCUACUUUUUCGUGGGGGAUGACGUAGGGAAACUUACGCUAAUACCGCAUACGACCUACGGGUGAAAGCAGGGGAUCUUCGGACCUUGCGCGAUUGAAUGAGCCGAUGUCGGAUUAGCUAGUUGGCGGGGUAAAGGCCCACCAAGGCGACGAUCCGUAGCUGGUCUGAGAGGGUGAUCAGCCACACUGGAACUGAGACACGGUCCAGACUCCUACGGGAGGCAGCAGUGGGGAAUAUUGGACAAUGGGCGCAAGCCUGAUCCAGCCAUACCGCGUGGGUGAAGAAGGCCUUCGGGUUGUAAAGCCCUUUUGUUGGGAAAGAAAAGCAGCAGGUUAAUACCCCGCUGUUCUGACGGUACCCAAAGAAUAAGCACCGGCUAACUUCGUG